GCAUUUUCGCAGACAAAGGUCUCAUAAAACAUGGCAAACUCUGGAGCGUUGUCGUUUACAUCCAAAACCUUAAUGAACACUGGGACACGGCUGCUUUGUUUUGGGUUGUUGAUCUCUGCUGCUAUUACUGUAAUGUUGUGCCAUAGCAAUGUUUCCCGGUCAAGAGUUUUUGACGUAAAUAUCGAACCAUUUCCUGAGUUGAUGUUGAAUACUCUGUCCAUAUCAGUGUGUCGAUCUACAGAAUACUUGACAGGGUUCUUGGCAGCAUCUGGAUCCUGUGCUGUUACUGUUCCUAUUACACUGUUUAUUGGAACAUCUUCUUUCACUUCAAUUAUAUAUGCUGGUCUGCUGAACACAGGGGGUUCAUCUACAUCUUCCACUUGAAUUCUGAUUGUGGCUGAAUCCUUGAAUGGCCCCAAGUAGAGGAAUCGAGGGUCCACGUGAGUAUUGGUGGCUUCCACCUUCAGAAUAUACAAGUUUUUAUUUUCAAAAUCCAGUGCCUUUUUGACAGUUAUAAUUCCUUCCUGUGUGUCCUUGUCUGUGGUAAUUCCAAACAUGUCAUAUCCAUCCCCCUCAGUGAUGCUGUAUUCAAUCUCUGCAUUUUCAUCCACAUCUGCAUCAUUAGCUUUAAUCCUGCCAAUUGGUGAGUCAGGUGGCGUAGACUCAGGAGCUCUGAAUUGGUAGGUGCUCUGGGGGAACCGAGGAGGAUUGUCAUUUACGUCGGUCAGUGUGAUGUUCACAGUGGUGGUUCCUGAUAAUCCGCCCAUCUGGC
Molecule: long non-coding RNA, 772 nt
Filed under: Gallus gallus (chicken)
Lineage: Eukaryota; Metazoa; Chordata; Aves; Galliformes; Phasianidae
Source: RNAcentral